UCAUGGCUCAGGAUGAACGCUGGCGGUAUGCUUUACACAUGCAAGUCGUACGAGAGUUUUUAACUCUAGUGGCGGACGGGUGAGUAACACGUAAGAAUUUGCCUUUAGGAGGGGGACAACAACUGGAAACGGUUGCUAAUACCCCAUAUGCUUUCGAGUGAAAUGGAUUUUUCCGCCUGAAGAGAAGCUUGCGGCUGAUUAGCUUGUUGGUAAGGUAAUGGCUUACCAAGGCGACGAUCAGUAUCUGGUUUGAGAGGACGAUCAGACACACUGGAACUGAGACACGGUCCAGACUCCUACGGGAGGCAGCAGUGAGGAAUUUUCCGCAAUGGGCGAAAGCCUGACGGAGCAAUACCGCGUGAGGGAUGAAGGCCUAUGGGUUGUAAACCUCUUUUUUCAGGGAGGAAUUCAAUGACGUGUACCUGAAGAAUAAGCAUCGGCUAACUCCGUGCCAGCAGCCGCGGUAAGACGGGGGAUGCAAGUGUUAUCCGGAAUCACUGGGCGUAAAGCGUCUGUAGGUGGUUAAAUAAGUCAACUGUUAAAUCUUGAGGCUUAACUUCAAAAUCGCAGUCGAAACUGUUUGACUAGAGUAUAGUAGGGGUAAAGGGAAUUUCCAGUGGAGCGGUGAAAUGCGUAGAGAUUGGAAAGAACACCGAUGGCGAAGGCACUUUACUGGGCUAUUACUAACACUGAGAGACGAAAGCUAGGGUAGCAAAUGGGAUUAGAUACCCCAGUAGUCCUAGCUGUAAACAAUGGAUACUAGAUGUUGAACAGAUCGACCUGUGCAGUAUCAAAGCUAACGCGUUAAGUAUCCCGCCUGGGAAGUAUGCUCGCAAGAGUGAAACUCAAAU
RNAcentral lists this ribosomal RNA (851 nucleotides) under uncultured bacterium. RNAcentral's name for it is "bacterial SSU rRNA". It matches the Rfam family "Bacterial small subunit ribosomal RNA", at positions 17 to 906 of the family's 1533-position model. The record is from RNAcentral.